This 133-nucleotide ribosomal RNA is filed under the name uncultured bacterium. RNAcentral describes it as "partial 16S ribosomal RNA". The record is from RNAcentral.
ACGGAGUUAGCCGGUGCUUAUUCAUAUGCUACCGUCAUUUUCUUGACAUAUAAAAGGAGUUUACACACCGAAAUGCGUCAUCCUCCACGCGGCGUUGCUGCAUCAGGGUUUCCCCCAUUGUGCAAUAUUCCUC